CCUACGGGAGGCAGCAGUGAGGAAUAUUGGUCAAUGGACGGAAGUCUGAACCAGCCAUGCCGCGUGCAGGAAGACGGCCCUAUGAGUUGUAAACUGCUUUUGUACAAGGGUAAACCUGAAUACGUGUAUUCAGCUGAAAGUACUGUACGAAUAAGGAUCGGCUAACUCCGUGCCAGCAGCCGAGGUAAUACGGAGGAUCCAAGCGUUAUCCGGAUUUAUUGGGUUUAAAGGGUGCGUAGGCGGAUUGAUAAGUUAGAGGUGAAAUGUCCGAGCUUAACUCGGGAACUGCCUCUAAUACUAGUGAACUAGAGAGUAGAUGCGGUAGGCGGAAUGUAUGGUAUAGCGGUGAAAUGCUUAGAGAUAAUACAGAACACCGAAUGCGAAGGCAGCUUACCAAUCUAUAUCUGACGUUGAGGGACGAAAGCGUGGGGAGCAAACAGGAUUAGAUACCCGGGUAGUC
Molecule: ribosomal RNA, 460 nt
Filed under: uncultured bacterium
Lineage: Bacteria
Description: partial 16S ribosomal RNA
Rfam family: Bacterial small subunit ribosomal RNA
Source: RNAcentral